UUGAUGGUGGAGGGAAAAAGUGCUGGGCUAAGGACUUAUUCCGGAGGCACUCCAUUAAGUCAAGUUCAACCAUGUUGAUAAGCCAAUAAUACUGUCUGGACAAAACAUUUUUUUACUCCAUUAAAACGCAAACAGGAGUGGAUCCAGGAAGUUGGUUCAGGAGUUUGGCGAGCAUACACAGAUUUCCACUGAGUGCCGCGCACGGACCAUUCCAGGAGCACGUGUCAAAAAGGAAAUAAAGGUUCUCCACCGAAAGAUU
Esox lucius (northern pike) is the source of this 259-nucleotide long non-coding RNA. RefSeq lists it as uncharacterized. The record is from RefSeq and is a predicted model, not a curated record. The transcript has 3 exons. Lineage: Eukaryota; Metazoa; Chordata; Actinopteri; Esociformes; Esocidae.